ACUCAAAUGAAUUGACGGGGGCCCGCACAAGCGGCGGAGCGUGCGGUUUAAUUCGACGCAACGCGCAGAACCUUACCCGGGCUUGACAUGCGUCUGCAGAGCCGGGAAACCGGUUGGCCUUCGAGGGUGACGCACAGGUGCUGCAUGGCUGUCGUCAGCUCGUGUCGUGAGAUGUUGGGUUAAGUCCCGCAACGAGCGCAACCCCCGCGGCCAGUUGCCGAUGUUUCUGGCCGGACUGCCGGUAGCAAGCCGGAGGAAGGUGGGGAUGAUGUCAAGUCAGCAUGGCCCUUACGUCCGGGGCGACACGCACGCUACAAUGGGCCGGACAGUGGGUUGCCAAGGCGCAAGCCGGAGCCAAUCCCCCAAACCGGUUCUCAGUUCGGAUUGCGGGCUGCAACUCGCCCGCAUGAAGCUGGAGUCGCUAGUAACCGCAGGUCAGCACUACUGCGGUGAAUACGUUCCCGGGCCUUGUACACACCGCCCGU
Molecule: ribosomal RNA, 485 nt
Filed under: uncultured bacterium
Lineage: Bacteria
Description: partial 16S ribosomal RNA
Rfam family: Bacterial small subunit ribosomal RNA
Source: RNAcentral